UACGGGAGGCAGCAGUGGGGGAUAUUGCACAAUGGAGGAAACUCUGAUGCAGCAAUGCCGCGUGAGGGAAGAAGGUUUUCGGAUUGUAAACCUCUGUCCCUGAUGACGAAGACAGUGACGGUAAUCAGGGAGGAAGCCACGGCUAACUACGUGCCAGCAGCCGCGGUAAU
RNAcentral lists this ribosomal RNA (170 nucleotides) under uncultured rumen bacterium. Its description in RNAcentral is "partial 16S ribosomal RNA". It matches the Rfam family "Bacterial small subunit ribosomal RNA", at positions 340 to 524 of the family's 1533-position model. The record is from RNAcentral.